UACAAACAUGGCACAGCCAGCUUGCCUUGCAAGGCCUCACCCAUUUCUGCUCAGGAAGUCUCUUUGCUCCUAAGCUUCAUAUGUUGUCCAAUUUGGCUUCAAAAUUUCUGCUAUUAUUACUGUUUCUCCUCCUUUUGAUCUUCCUUUUGUUCCCCAGUGCCAGAAUUUCCAGAGCCUUCUUGCUCAGAUGCCAUCUUUUUGUAUGCCAUUUCGAAGAGCUUCAGUGAUGCCUGCUGAAGAGAGGAUGCUGUUUGUCCAAUGUUUUCUCCCGUUUCGCUGUCUUUUCUAUCCAGAAGCCCCUUCAUUUUGGAAAUCUCUUCUUUUAGCUUUUGCACUUAUCAGCAGGUAAUUGGUCCUUGAAUUUAAAAUGUGGAACGCUUCACAAAUUAUGUCAUCAUAAUUUAAAAUAAAGGGAAACACAGAGCUUUCUGAUUUGUAAAGAGAUUUACAAAUGACCUUAAUAAUUUAUUUUGACCAAAAUAUUAUUUUUAAA
Molecule: long non-coding RNA, 493 nt
Filed under: Homo sapiens (human)
Lineage: Eukaryota; Metazoa; Chordata; Mammalia; Primates; Hominidae
Description: non-protein coding lnc-DSG1-12:1
Source: RNAcentral